UUCGACGCCCUGCAAGUUGAAGACCGACGAAGCCAGCUCGCCGUUGAGGCCUCACCGCCGUGCACCGCAGCUGGAGUCGCCACCGUUGCACGCCGUCGCCUCACCGCUGCUCCGUCCGUCUCAGUCUCCAUCUCGCCGGCUCCUCUGUUCCAGCAGCCAUUCCAGAUCUGGGGAAGCUCAGCCGGAGCCGUUCAGCUCACCUCCGGCCACCGUGAAGCC
RNAcentral lists this long non-coding RNA (219 nucleotides) under Eucalyptus grandis. RNAcentral describes it as "long non-coding RNA (EGRA_LNC007739)". The record is from RNAcentral. Lineage: Eukaryota; Viridiplantae; Streptophyta; Magnoliopsida; Myrtales; Myrtaceae.